Molecule: ribosomal RNA, 253 nt
Filed under: uncultured bacterium
Lineage: Bacteria
Description: partial 16S ribosomal RNA
Rfam family: Bacterial small subunit ribosomal RNA
Source: RNAcentral
UACGUAGGGUGCAAGCGUUGUCCGGAAUUAUUGGGCGUAAAGAGCUCGUAGGCGGUCUGUCGCGUCGGCUGUGAAAUCCCGAGGCUCAACCUCGGGUCUGCAGUCGAUACGGGCAAACUGGAGUGUUGCAGGGGAGACUGGAAUUCCUGGUGUAGCGGUGAAAUGCGCAGAUAUCAGGAAGAACACCGAUGGCGAAAGCAGCUCUCUGGGACGGUACUGACGCUGAGGCGCGAAAGCGUGGGGAGCGAACAGG